This 379-nucleotide ribosomal RNA is filed under the name uncultured eukaryote. RNAcentral's name for it is "partial 18S ribosomal RNA". It matches the Rfam family "Eukaryotic small subunit ribosomal RNA", at positions 592 to 976 of the family's 1831-position model. The record is from RNAcentral.
UAAUAGCGUAUAUUUAAGUUGUUGCAGUUAAAAAGCUCGUAGUUGGAUUUCGGAUGGGAUUUGCCGGUCCGUCGUUACGAUGUGCACUGGCCAGUCCUAUCUUGUUGUCGGGGACUAGCUCCUUGGAUUCACUUCCUGGGACUAGGAGCUGACGAGGUUACUUUGAGUAAAUUAGAGUGUUCAAAGCAAGCCUACGCUCUGAAUACAUUAGCAUGGAAUAACACGAUAGGACUCUGGCUUAUCUUGUUGGUCUGUGAGACCAGAGUAAUGAUUAAGAGGGACAGUCGGGGACAUUCGUAUUUCAUUGUCAGAGGUGAAAUUCUUGGAUUUAUGAAAGACGAACUUCUGCGAAAGCAUUUGUCAAGGAUGUUUUCAUUAA